This 619-nucleotide unclassified non-coding RNA is filed under the name Hevea brasiliensis (rubber tree). Lineage: Eukaryota; Viridiplantae; Streptophyta; Magnoliopsida; Malpighiales; Euphorbiaceae. The record is from RNAcentral.
GAAAAAUAUCAGAUACCUAUCACAGCUAAAACUGUACUAUAUUUUUGUUACUUCAGUAACAUGAACUACAUGUGUAAUGUGUAUAAGAAGUAUAACACAAAAAAUUAACUCAGCCAAAAUGGAAGCCAGUUGAUUUGAAAUUACUUGAUAAAUUUGGUAGUCUGAGCAUAGCAAAAAUUCCAGCAGCAAGUGCAGCUAAAGAUGCUAAGGCAAAUGCCGGUAUGUUUCCUCCACCAAAUAAAGCAUCCCAAGGACCCGCACCAAGCGAUACAACCAUCUGAGGUACAACAAUUGCAAGAUUCAGGACUCCUAUUGCCAACCCUUGGCCACCACCAGCGUCAGCUGUCAACUCUGCUGUGAUAGAGAAAGGGACGCUGUAGGUUACAGCAAGAGGAAUGCCAAGAAGAGAGAAAACAACCAAAGCAGCAAUUUGAGUUGAUCGAGUAGCACCAAUUACAUGUUGGACUCCCUGCGUAUUUGCACUGAUAGAAACCACGCUAAUGAUAGCGGUGCAGGCCAUGCAGACAAAUACAAUGAAGUUGCUCACAGCCCAAACAAGUCUAGAACCAAUCCAUUUGCACAUUGGCUCAAUAAGAAAGGAGCUAACGCCAAGAACAAC